Molecule: transfer RNA, 76 nt
Filed under: Escherichia coli
Lineage: Bacteria; Pseudomonadati; Pseudomonadota; Gammaproteobacteria; Enterobacterales; Enterobacteriaceae
Description: tRNA-Glu
Rfam family: tRNA
About the family: Transfer RNA (tRNA) molecules are approximately 80 nucleotides in length. Their secondary structure includes four short double-helical elements and three loops (D, anti-codon, and T loops).
Source: RNAcentral
GUCCCCUUCGUCUAGAGGCCCAGAACACCGCCCUUUCACGGCGGUAACAGGGGUUCGAAUCCCCUAGGGGACGCCA